AAAAUUCGGGUAAAACCGAAAAAAUUCUGUUAACUGACCGAAUUCGGUUAAUCGGUCGGUUAACCAAAUUAAUUCGGUCAAGGGUCGGUUAAUAAUUUUUUGAGUUUUCGGUUAACGGUUAAUUCGGCUCGAAACCGGUCGGUUAACUGAAUUUUUUUGGUUUAAUCGAAAAAAUUAAUAAAUAAAAGUAUAAUAUAUAAAUAGCCCACAAUUCACUCAAACCCAA
This 226-nucleotide long non-coding RNA is filed under the name Gossypium barbadense (sea-island cotton). Its description in RNAcentral is "long non-coding RNA (GBAR_LNC007147)". The record is from RNAcentral. Lineage: Eukaryota; Viridiplantae; Streptophyta; Magnoliopsida; Malvales; Malvaceae.